GACGAACGCUGGCGGCGUGCUUAACACAUGCAAGUCGAACGGAAAGGCCUCUUUCGGGGGGUACUCGAGUGGCGAACGGGUGAGUAACACGUGAGUAACCUGCCCUUGACUUUGGGAUAACUUCAGGAAACUGGGGCUAAUACCGGAUAGGAGCUCCUGCUGCAUGGUGGGGGUUGGAAAGUUUCGGCGGUUGGGGAUGGACUCGCGGCUUAUCAGCUUGUUGGUGGGGUAGUGGCUUACCAAGGCUUUGACGGGUAGCCGGCCUGAGAGGGUGACCGGCCACAUUGGGACUGAGAUACGGCCCAGACUCCUACGGGAGGCAGCGGUGGGGAAUAUUGCACAAUGGGUGGAAGCCUGAUGCAGCAACGCCGUGUGCGGGAUGACGGCCUUCGGGUUGGAAACCGCUUUCGCUCAUGACGAAGCUUUGUGUGACGGUAGUGGGUAAAGAAGCACCGGCUAACUACGUG
This 467-nucleotide ribosomal RNA is filed under the name uncultured bacterium. Its description in RNAcentral is "partial 16S ribosomal RNA". It matches the Rfam family "Bacterial small subunit ribosomal RNA", at positions 28 to 507 of the family's 1533-position model. The record is from RNAcentral.